Molecule: long non-coding RNA, 370 nt
Organism: Medicago truncatula (barrel medic)
Lineage: Eukaryota; Viridiplantae; Streptophyta; Magnoliopsida; Fabales; Fabaceae
Exons: 2
Source: RefSeq, a predicted model, not a curated record
GCACUAGGAGAUGACCUUACUAGACAAGUGGAACUUGAAGGUCAAAUUGACAAGAAGAAAAAGAAGAAGAAGUUGUUCCGCUUCCACUGGUGAAGUGAUAAUUGUGUUUGUUACGUGACCUUCAAAAACAAAGAGUUGUAAAGUUGGAGGCUUAAAGAGAGUAUUGUUAUUGUUAUUCCUUUUAAAAAAAAAAACUAAUAAAGUUUGCCAUCUUUUGACAAUUGUGUACAUUAUUGAGUCUCAAACUCAUUGAGUAACAUUUGGGUUUCAUAAUAUUAUUGUAACCACUUGGCCUGUGCGCAAUCUUCAAACUUAAUGUAAAAGAUGUUUCUCCAUGUACAUUAUGCAAUCAAGUACUACUUCCAUAUAA